RNAcentral lists this ribosomal RNA (253 nucleotides) under uncultured bacterium. Its description in RNAcentral is "partial 16S ribosomal RNA". It matches the Rfam family "Bacterial small subunit ribosomal RNA", at positions 524 to 776 of the family's 1533-position model. The record is from RNAcentral.
GACGGACCGUACGAACGUUAUUCGGAAUUACUGGGCUCAAAGGGUGCGUAGGCGGCUCAGAAAGUUGAAUGUGAAAGCCCUCGGCUUAACCGAGGAAUUGCAUCCAAAACUACUGGGCUUGAGUGAGACAGAGGUGAGCGGAACUCACGGUGGAGCGGUGAAAUGCGUUGAUAUCGUGAGGAACACCGGUGGCGAAAGCGGCUCACUGGGUCUUUGCUGACGCUGAGGCACGAAAGCUAGGGUAGCGAACGGG